Molecule: long non-coding RNA, 1150 nt
Filed under: Nicotiana tabacum (common tobacco)
Lineage: Eukaryota; Viridiplantae; Streptophyta; Magnoliopsida; Solanales; Solanaceae
Description: long non-coding RNA (NTAB_LNC003491)
Source: RNAcentral
CAGCUGUACGAAGAAUCCUCUAACACUUGUCCAAGAAACCCUAGGCGUCCUCGCCCUCUGUACCACUGAAAGUCAGAGGCUAAAGUCUAUCAAACCUCUCCAAUCUACGUAGCUCAUCAUCAGGCAUGACUGGUACACAUAAUCCUGAGCAGGUGCAACCGGCUGGGCUGGUGGUGCCUCCGGUGUCUGAAGUCCCUGAGCAACCUACUCGUGUGUACGAGCGGCGGGAGUUUGAGUACCUACCCCGGCAUAAGAAGUAGCUGCGAUAGCAAAAAUGGAGACCGCCUGAGACUGGUGCACGUGGUCAAAAUCUGAGCUAAGGUCUCCUAAAGACCUGGAAUAACAAUAGGCAUAGCUGGUGCCUGAGCUGGUCCUGCUAGAGCAUCCACAACUGGGACCUGAUCAUGAACUGGUGCGACUGGUGGAUCUGUAGGUUCUUCCCUAGCUGGUGUGCGAGCUACACCCCUACCUCUACCACGGCCUCGACCGCGACCUCGGCCUCUAGUGGCCCCAACUGGUGGUACUAGUGGCCCUCCAUCCUGACCGGUAGCAUAUGUCCUCACCAUCUGUGAGAUAAUAGAAUAACAUAAGUUUAGUUACCAGAAUCAACAUAUUUGCACAACAAGGAUUUUAGAAUGUGAAAUUUUCCUAAAGGUUCUGCAGCCUUUCGAAGAUAAAUAUAGACGUCUCCGUACCGAUCUGCAAGACUCUACUAAAUCUGCUCAUGACUCGUGAGACCUAUGUAACCUAGGCUCUGAUACCAACUUGUCACGAUCCAAAACCAACACGGUCAUGAUGGUGCCUAUCAUGGAACUAGGCUAGCCGACACAUUCCCAAAAUAAUUCGAUAUUUCAUUAAAAGCUAGAUAAUAACCUUUUUCAUAUUGAAAAUCCAUAAAAAAGAUUAAUUUGAAAACCAAAAUGCAGAAAUAAAAGACCGACCUCGGGUGUCACUAAGUCAUGAGCAAAUACUACAACUGUUCUGAAAUAUAACAAGACUAACAUAGUCUGAGAGUAGCCAAAAGUACACUAAAAGGAAGAUAAAGAAGGAGAAAGUCGGGACUGCGAUCACCAGGAAGCUACCUCGCUAUCUUCGAUAAAAGUCCGCGACUGGAAUAGUCAACAGCUGCUACCGUGGCCUGAGAUACCUG